GGCCUUUGUGUUGCCCAUUCAUUCCUGUCCAGAAUGGAUGUGGUGUCAAAAAAGGCAAACAGGAAUUCUUGCUCAAACUGCUUUAGGGAGCUGGUUAUGUACCUUCCUCCUUUCUGUUUUUGCAAGGACAAAA
This is a small nucleolar RNA of Camarhynchus parvulus, 133 nucleotides long. The record is from Ensembl. NCBI's taxonomy places the organism in Eukaryota, Metazoa, Chordata, Aves, Passeriformes, Thraupidae.